GUUUUCUGGUCUGUGCGUCCGUUCGUCCGUUCGUUCGUCCGUUCGUUCGUCCGUUCGUUCGUCCGUCUGUCCCGCUUCAGGUUAAAGUUUUUGGUCGAGGUAGUUUUUGAUGAAGUUAAAGUCCAAUCGACUUGAAACUUGGUACACAUGUUCCCUAUGAUAUGAUCUUUCUAAUUUUAAUGCCAAAUUAGAGAUUUGACCCCAAUUUCACGGUCCACUGAACAUAGAAAAUGAUAGUGCAAAUUUCAGGUUAAAGUUUUUGGCUUCAGGUUAAAGUUUUUGGUCAAGGUAGUUUUUGAUGA
RNAcentral lists this long non-coding RNA (302 nucleotides) under Mytilus galloprovincialis (Mediterranean mussel). Lineage: Eukaryota; Metazoa; Mollusca; Bivalvia; Mytilida; Mytilidae. The record is from RNAcentral.